RNAcentral lists this long non-coding RNA (1284 nucleotides) under Struthio camelus australis. RNAcentral describes it as "lncRNA (ENSSCUG00000002699.1)". The record is from RNAcentral. Lineage: Eukaryota; Metazoa; Chordata; Aves; Struthioniformes; Struthionidae.
AUGCCCUCCUUUAAGGACUGGCUUUGUAAGGGUGAUGCGUUCACGGUUAUUAUUGCCAAAGCGAUGUUUCCAGUGAACUGCAUAGCUCCAAUCCAGAUAGGACUGAGAGGCGAUCUCAUCAAUAUGUACAAGAAUCUGAAGGGAAGGUGUCAAGAGGACGGGGCCAGACUCUUCUCCAUGGUGCCCAGUGACAGGACAAGAGGCAACGGGCAGAAACUGAAACACCAGAAGUUCUGUCUGAACAUGAGGAAACACUUCUUCACUGUGAGGGUGACAGAGCACUGGCACAGGUUGCCCAGAGAGGUAGUGGAGUCUCCUUCCCUGGAGAUGUUCAAAAGCUGUCUAGACACAAUCCUGGGCAAUGUGCUCUAGAGGACUCUGCUUGAGCCGGGGGGUUGGACUAGAUGAUCUCCAGAGGUCCCUUACAACCCCAACCAUUCUGUGAUUCUGUGAUCUCAGCUGAGCACUUUGGCUAGCAUUCAUGAAGCACAUGGGUCUGUAGCGUCCCGUGCCAAAGGGCUGCUGCGCCAUGGUAGCUGUCACCGAUUCUGGUGUCUCCCCGUCCAGGGAGAGCACCCAGUGUCUUCUGUUUCCGUCUGGGCUCAUCUAAAGCUCUUGUCUUUGGAGCAGGCAGAAGUGUCUUUCUGCAUGACAGCGCUGAGAUUCGUUAGGGUGAAGGAUGUGGAGGAAAGCAGCAGAAGGUUCUUGCAGCCAGCAGGCAGUGUCUGCCUAAAUUUGUAUUUUAUAGUGGACAUAAAUCUCCAUGUUUUAUGCUUUGUCCAAAACAGACUCAUAACUCUUCAUUUUUUUAAAACUUUUUUUAUUCAAAAGACUUUCUGGAGACUACUUUUACUGCAGGUCCUAACUUAGCCAAGCUAGGGAGAAAGCUGAUAGCAGUAGUCACAGUGGAUUAAUGCUUUUUUUGUUUCCUUAUCGGAGGCUAGGCACAGCAGCAAGAACCAUGCUAGCGACAAGCACAACUAGCAGCACCUCAAGUUUAGAGAUAGCUGUGCUGGUUGUGGUAGCUUUGGGAUUUACAGUCAGUUUGCUGUUAUUGGUCUUCUAGGACAGAGAUGUGUCAAAUAUCCCCAACUGCCUUUGCCCGUUUCACCUUUUACUCUUCAGUGUUGCAGAACAGAAGGAGAAAAUCUCUAUUACCUGUUAAUCUGAUCCUCUGAUAACCUCCAGGCAGUGUAAGAACUGUUGAGUUUCUUGAGCUAAUUGCAGAGAUAGUUUGAAUACUUCUUCCAUCAGAACUAAAUAGUUUUCUUCUUUCUAUCUUGG